This is a small nucleolar RNA of Nothoprocta perdicaria, 68 nucleotides long. Its record names the gene SNORD58. It matches the Rfam family "Small nucleolar RNA SNORD58". From Rfam's summary of the family: snoRNA U58 is found in introns 1, 3 and 6 of the ribosomal protein RPL17 gene in humans. The record is from Ensembl. Lineage: Eukaryota; Metazoa; Chordata; Aves; Tinamiformes; Tinamidae.
UUGCUGUGAUGACCAUCUUAGGACACCUUUGGAAUGCCCGUGAAAAAAAAUACGUAUUUCUGAGCAAC